This is a long non-coding RNA of Colius striatus (speckled mousebird), 333 nucleotides long. RefSeq lists it as uncharacterized. The transcript is spliced from 4 exons. The record is from RefSeq and is a predicted model, not a curated record. Lineage: Eukaryota; Metazoa; Chordata; Aves; Coliiformes; Coliidae.
UCGGGUGGAUCGCCGAGAGAAAGUGGGCGAUGGCGUGGGGAGAGCAAGAAAAUGGGGAUGGGCAGAUGUACCGCUACAUGAUGCUGUGUUUGUGUUCUGUUUUGAAGGUUCGAAGGCACGAGGGAGCCAGGUAAUUGGCACCGGAGAGGACUCGGCCAGGAGGUCCCCGAGCCUGACGCAGCAGGAUGGAAUGACCCACGUGGAGGGCUAGAGGUCAAGAUGCUAUAAGAUGCCUCGGAGAGGUGAAGCCACACACUGAGGAGGAGGCUGGAAAGGGGCCGUGAGGACAGCCUCCGGAGCUUUCGAGGUGAGCCAGGCCGGUUGCGAGGAGGG